This 101-nucleotide small RNA is filed under the name Deinococcus gobiensis I-0. Its description in RNAcentral is "hypothetical noncoding RNA". The record is from RNAcentral. Lineage: Bacteria; Thermotogati; Deinococcota; Deinococci; Deinococcales; Deinococcaceae.
CGAUGAUUAGCCCAUCACGUCACACUGGUGCUGUUCACCAUGCUGUUUUGGCGAACUUGUGACUCGCGACUAGCGUCACAGCGCUGGUCGUGGCAUUGCCA